RNAcentral lists this ribosomal RNA (253 nucleotides) under uncultured bacterium. RNAcentral describes it as "partial 16S ribosomal RNA". It matches the Rfam family "Bacterial small subunit ribosomal RNA", at positions 524 to 776 of the family's 1533-position model. The record is from RNAcentral.
UACAGAGGUCCCGAGCGUUGUCCGGAUUCACUGGGCGUAAAGGGUGCGUAGGUGGCAUGGAAAGUUUGAUGUGAAAGCUCAGGGCUUAACCCUGAAAUGGCAUUGAAUACUGCCGUGCUGGAGGUUUGGAGGGGGGACUGGAAUUCUUGGUGUAGCAGUGAAAUGCGUAGAUAUCAAGAGGAACACCAGUGGCGAAGGCGAGUCCCUGGACAACACCUGACACUGAGGCACGAAAGCUAGGGGAGCAAACAGG